GAGGUUCUUCUAAAAGGGGAGAAUAUGUUAAUAUGUGACAGUACGUAGGAGACUGUCCGAAUAACGUUUCUCUCAAUACAGAACUCCAUGUGUGCUUCAUCACACGAUGCAUUCAGACUUGUUUCUUGUACCUGCUCAAGUCAUUUAACAUUCAACCAGUGGGUUUGUUCUCUGGGGACAGAAACUGCAAAUUGUACUUUACAAUAUCUGAAAUUGUUGAUUUUUUCCAAUUCAAAUGUUACUUAAAGUUCCCAUUGAAUUCAGCCUGGCUAGCACUGAACCCCUGAAUAGUUACCACGAGGAAAUCAAAAACUGAAUCUUAACACAGUCACUAACCCCACAGACCAUAAACAUGGCAAAUCUGUGGAAUGUUAGAGGGUAUUUGUACUGUAGGGUGGAUGCCCCUACUCUUUCCUCGCCCCUGGUGAAGUUAGGUGGCAGCUAAAAGAUACAUAUUUAGCCCAUAAACACUCAGUGGAAUUUAGUCCUGGUCUCCUAAGGGCACGAUGGUCCCCAAGCACUCUACUUAUAACUCCAUGAGUCUCACCCACUAUAGGACUAGGGACGACCGUUACCAUGGUGCUCGGUAUAUGAACGCUCCAUAAAUGACCUAAAUGAUCUGUAUGUACGUGAGGAUGAGAGCAGUGUUUUGGAGGAUGGAGCACAGAAGAUGGGAGACAACAGAAGAAGGUUAUCAGGGAUGAGUGGUAAGCGGAUAGGCUGCUGUUUAGCAGGUUAUGCUGAGAGUGACUCCAUGUGCUUUUGUUAUACACAGCAUCUCACUCAUCUCCAGUUGUUAUGGUAGGGCUUACACAUCUCUGUCUACGGGAUGGCUCACUUAUCACUGUCUGUGGAAGGACUCGAUUAUCUCUGUCUAUGGGAGGGCUCACUUAUCUCUGUCUACGUGAGGGCAUAAUUGUCUCCAAUUAUCUAUGGGGGGCUUGAUUAUCUCCAGUUAUCUAUGAGAGGGCUCACUUAUCUCUGGUUGUCUACCCAGGGACUGGCUUAUCACUACAGUAGGGCUCACAUACUGUUAGUUAUGGGGCUCACUUAUCUCUACCCUGGGGCACGCUCACCUCUUGUUAUUUACCCAAAGCUAGUUAUCUACCCAAGGGCUCUUGCUAUUUAGCUAGGGCUAUCUAGUUAUCUAUAUGAGAGCUCAUUCACCUCUUGUUGUUUGCAUGGAGCUUGUGCAUCUGUAGUUAUCUCCCUAGGUGCUCACUUGUCUCUGAUAACCUACCGUGGUGCUUUCUCACCUCCUAUUUACUUGGGGCUCAUUCAUCUGUAGCUUUCUACCCAGGUGUUCACUUAUCUUACAGGUAUCCUACCUGGGACAUGCUUACCUCUUGUUAUCUACUAUGGGCUUGCAUGUCACUUUUAAAGGACCACUAUAGUGCCCUGAGGGUGCCCCACCCUCAGGGUCCCACUCCCGUGGCGCUGAGGGGGAGGAAGGGGUUAAACUUACCUCUUUCAUCUGCGCCGGGCAGGGAGCUCCUCUUCGGGUGAAUGCGCAUGCGCGGCAGGAGCUGCGUGCGCAUUCAGCCAGUCUCAUAGGAAAGAACUUACAAUGUUUUCCUAUGGACGCUGGCGUCUUCUCACUGUGAUUUUCACAGUGAGAAGCACGCAAGCGCCUCUAGCGGCUGUCAACCUACCCGAAGUGUUCCUCAAUCUAUACUCAGAAGGUUUGUUUGUCUCUAGUUAUUUACAAGUGAAGACUGUCUCACUAUGAAUGGAAAAAAAUAAAAAAUAAAUCACUAAAUAUAAAACCCUUUUAUAACUUACUCUACCUACUAAUUAACUAGUAAGCAUAGUUUGGCGUUCCCAGCUACAUGAUCUGUCUGCGGGUAAUUAUCCUGAAAUCAUAACAGAUUAAAGCAAGCCCUCACUGCAUGACUAGGGUCCAGACCCUAAGGAGUUUUAAAUCGUCUUUUUGUCAUUGGCCACAACUCAAUAAUUCUAGAAUUAGGUGAAUACCUUAAAUCAGUCAGUAGGAACAUUUUGCAGUGCUGUAUUCAUGAUUUUUUACAUAUAUGUUAACAUGGUGUUAAUAAUACCAUUAGCCUGGGCACCCUAUAGUAUUCUGAGAAUACAUGUUUCCUUGCUUGACUUCCUGGGUCCAUCACAUGUUCUAAAACUUAUUACAGAGAUAUGGAGUAAGAAACAGCGAAUGCAAUGCCAGUUCUAUCAUUAAAUAAGCUUAUAAUGGGCUGCACAGUACUGAACAUAUUAAUGGUUUAUAAGCCUCCGCUUAAUAAUAUGUUUGUUAAGGUGGCUGGACCACUUCAAUGAACAGCUACCAAUGGUCUCUGGUUUGUGGACGGUACAUGUAAGGCAAUCCACCAAGACUGUUUUGGCAGCUAAUGUUUCCAUGUAUAUCAGAAUGGGAUAAGCUAUAUGUGAAGCCCAUGUGUAAGAAAGAAUGGGGCGUGCUAUAUCACUAGCCCAUGUGUAAUACAGAAUAUCCAGUGUGUAAGCAGCAUAGGACUUGCCAUAUCACUAUCCCAUGUGUAAUACAGAAUGGGGCGUGCUAUAUCACUAGCCAAAGUGUAAUCCAGAAUAUCCUUUGUGUAAUCCAGAACAAGGCGUGCUAUAUUAUUAGCCCAUGUGUAAUACAGAAUAUCCUGUGUGUAAUACAGAACGGGGCGUGCUAUAUCACUAGCCUAUGUGUAAUACAGAAUAUCCUGUGUGUAAUACAGAAUGGGGCGUGCUAUAUCAUUAGCCCAAGUGUAAUACAGAAUGGGGUGUGCUCAGUGGUGGAACUACCGCGGUUGCAGCUGCGACCAGGCCCAUCACUCCUGGAGUGUCUGUGUGUAUGUCUGUCUGUGUCUGUAUGUAUGUGUCUCUGUGUGUGUUUGUAUGUGUGUGUGCGCACCUAUAUGUGUGUGUCUGCAUGUGUAUCUGUUUGUAUGAGAGGGGGACAGUAGACGUAUGGGAUAGGGUGGCGGAGGAGUAGACAUACGGGGGGGUCAGGGCAGUUUUCGCACCGGUGCCCUGUGGUUUCUAGUUACACCACUGGGCCUGCUAUAUCAUUAGCCCAUGUGUAAUACAGAACUGGGCUUGCUAUAGCAUUAGGCCAUGUGUAAUACAGAACUGGGCGUGCUAUAUCAUUAGCCCAUGUGUAAUACAGAACUGGGCGUGCUAUAUCAUUAGCCCAUAUGUAAUAUAGAACUGGGCGUGCUAUAUCAUUAGCCCAUGUGUAAUACAGAACUGGGCUUGCUAUAUCAUUAGCCCAUGUGUAAUACAGAACUGGGCGUGCUAUAUCAUUAGCCCAUGUGUAAUGCAGAACUGGGCGUGCUAUAUCAUUAGGCCAUGUGUAAUACAGAACUGGGCUUGCUAUAUCAUUAGCCCAUGUGUAAUACAGAACUGGGCUUGCUAUAUCAUUAGCCCAUGUGUAAUACAGAACUGGGCUUGCUAUAUCAUUAGCCCAUGUGUAAUACAGAACUGGGCCUGCUAUAUCAUUAGCCCAUGUGUAAUACAGAAUAUCCCGUGUGUAAUACAGAAUGGGGCGUGCUGUAUCACAAGCUUUAAUGUCUCGGUCCCUUUCAUUGUGACAAAUAAAAACAAAUUAUUUUGCUCCUAUGAGGUUGCAGAUGAAUGUUGCUAUAUAUACAUUUUUAUAAUUUAAAUUCUGGAUUUGGUGUCAAAGGCUCGGAAAUGUAUUACACCUUUAAUAGGUGUAGAUCUCCAGAUUGGAAGACUGCAAGUCCCGUUGUCAGGGCUGGCUAAUGAUGAUGGGAGUUUUUCCACCAACAGCUGGGUUUCCUGUUGGCCUCCCGUGUCUGUGGUACUGGGUAUUAUUAUGUUAAUAAUAUUUGGAAGGUAUACAAGGUGAGUGUGAGUGUCAUGGCAUACAUGUUAUGAAUACCCUGCAUAUGUGGGAAACUGUAAACUUGAAGUCAUGUCAUCUGCCAAAUAUUUAAUAAAUGAUUAUCAC
This 3934-nucleotide long non-coding RNA is filed under the name Pelobates cultripes (western spadefoot toad). Lineage: Eukaryota; Metazoa; Chordata; Amphibia; Anura; Pelobatidae. The record is from RNAcentral.